GCACCGCUGGGUAGCUAUGUAUGGACGAGAUAACCGCUGAAAGCAUCUAAGCGGGAAGCCCGCUCCAAGAUAAGGAUUCCUGACACCCCCCCCGGGGGUGUGUGAGACCCCAUAGAGAACAUGUGGUUGAUAGACCGGACGUGGAAGCCCCGCGAGGGGUGGAGCCGACCGGCACUAACGGUCGAAGACAACCAACACCGCCAU
Molecule: ribosomal RNA, 204 nt
Filed under: Limosilactobacillus reuteri
Lineage: Bacteria; Bacillati; Bacillota; Bacilli; Lactobacillales; Lactobacillaceae
Description: Lactobacillus reuteri partial 23S ribosomal RNA
Rfam family: Bacterial large subunit ribosomal RNA
Source: RNAcentral